CGGGUGGAUCCGCAAAAGUCGGCUUGCGAAAUUCAGCUCGGAAGGCUGGUGCAGCUGGCAGGUUCACGAGAUCUUUCAUGGACUCGCCUGCCGUCUGCCCGCCGGCUUGACGUGUGCACUUUUCGCAGGCAGAGCGCCACGACCGGUUCUCGGGCAGUCAGAAGGCGGCGGGGAAGGUAGGCGGGCGCUUCGGCGCUUGCUGUUAUAGCCUCGCCUGUCCUGAUCUGCUUCUGGAGGACCGAGGAGCCGCCGCCCGGCUGAAAGCUACCCUCGCUCUCCUGGGGUGUCUCGACUGGCAGAGACUGGGCAACCGUGUCUGCCGACCGCUCUCCUGGACAGACUGGGGGCUGAAAGAUUGUAGCUGGCUGGGCACAGGGUCGGUGGCGAAUCGGUCGGCACUCCACCCGACCCGUCUUGAAACACGGACCAAGGAGUCUAACAUGCGCGCGAGUCGUUGGGUGGUACGAAACCCGAAGGCGAAGUGAAAGCGAGGGCCGUCCUCGCGACGUGCUCAGGUGGGAUCCCUUCACUCCCUGUGGAGGGCGCACCACCGGCCCGUCUCGUUCGCGCUGUCGAGGAGGCGGAGCAAGAGCGUGCACNNNNNNNNNNNNNNNNNNGUGAACUAUGCCUGAGUAGGAUGAAGCCAGAGGAAACUCUGGUGGAGGNNNNNNNNNNNNNNNACGUGCAAAUCGAUCGUCAAACUUGGGUAU
Molecule: ribosomal RNA, 710 nt
Filed under: Plectostoma crassipupa
Lineage: Eukaryota; Metazoa; Mollusca; Gastropoda; Architaenioglossa; Diplommatinidae
Description: partial large subunit ribosomal RNA
Rfam family: Eukaryotic large subunit ribosomal RNA
Source: RNAcentral